AACGCACGAGACCUGCGGACCUGCGGAAGGAUCAUUACUGAGGAGGGUCCAUGGCCCGAUCUCCAACCCUUUGAUAAAAACACCAUGUUGCUUUGGCAGGCCCGCCCGUUGGGGCCGCGGGGGAUCGCCGGUCCCUAGCCCGUGCCUGCCGGUAGCCUUCACAAAACUCUCAAAAUGUUGUCGUCUGAGAUGAUUAGAAUAAUAAAACUUUUAACAACGGAUCUCUAGAUCGGAAGAGCA
Molecule: unclassified non-coding RNA, 240 nt
Filed under: soil metagenome
Description: partial contains 5.8S ribosomal RNA, internal transcribed spacer 2, and large subunit ribosomal RNA
Source: RNAcentral